Molecule: long non-coding RNA, 1159 nt
Organism: Drosophila yakuba
Lineage: Eukaryota; Metazoa; Arthropoda; Insecta; Diptera; Drosophilidae
Exons: 2
Source: RefSeq, a predicted model, not a curated record
UCGAAGAGAUUCAUUAGUUUGUUAUUCAUUAAAAAUAUUAGUAAUAAAGAUAGACGCAAAAAUACGAUUACAAGGCUAAAGCAGUUGCUAAUUUUGAUCAUGCGGCGAUUAAGAAGAAUUCGACAUUUUUACUUCAAAUGAAAAUUACAUUUAAAUGUAUAAUAAUAAGUUUAAUGUUUAAUAAUACCAAGUAUCACAAAACUUAAAAAAAGCCGCCUGAAGUGCUUUAACCGAGUAAUUAGAAAACAAGAAACAUAGAUUCGAGUACAGAUAAAUCUUAUUAAAUGUCCGUGUAGAGAAACGUGUCUUAAAUACCUUAUUGAUUAGUUGCUAUGUGUGUGAGUGUGUCUGUUAGAUAAGAAGGCAUGCGAGCGUGCAGAAAAUUAAUAGUAUUACAAAAUGCAUUUGCUAUAAAUUAUAGAUUUAGAACACUCCCUCAUGUACUUUCACAGUUCAAUUAACAAUCGAAUAAAAAUAAUCCAUAGCAAGGUCGAAACGAACUCAUGUCAAAACAGCAUCAACGGAUGCCACAUUCUUACAAUACGUCAUUACAAGUAUGCAAAACAAACAAACAACAGCGGGUUCUGAUUAGAAACCAGACACCUUCCAUGUCCAUCAGUCAAUCUUAAAUACGAAUGCUACUAGGAGUCAUUGACCCACAUCGAAAUAAGGCAUAGAAACGAUCAAAACUAGAAGGCAUUCAAUAUAAAGGUUCGCGUACAAGCUCAAAGCUCGCAGAAAGCUUUGGAAAUUCGGAGAGAAGUACACUAUGCAGCACGUUUCAGAACUAAAUAUGGCUUACUAAAUGGAAUUUCUUUCACUGACGAACUACUAGUUUACUAGGGAUGCUGAAAACCGGCAAUACAAAAAUGGUUAAGUGUGAAAACUGGAUUCAUUCAUGCAUUUUUCAAUUAUGGAAGUAAUGGGUUAAAUGGCGAGGGUCUAGAGGCUACAGAUCGUGCGAACUAUGGGAUGGCAAGGUCAACAGAUGCUACAAAUACGCAAUGGUUAAAAAGUACUGAGAUACUGAGAUGUUUUUAGCAGUUUCAUAGAGACCUGGAUAGUUGGUAGCUUGGCCUGCUGCUUGACUUUUGAUUUUCUUUACGUUUUCGGGAGUUCGGGAGUGUGUAUGGCAAUAGAAAUUAGAGGAUAAUUGUGA